This is a long non-coding RNA of Malaclemys terrapin pileata, 3213 nucleotides long. RefSeq lists it as uncharacterized. The record is from RefSeq and is a predicted model, not a curated record. The transcript is spliced from 2 exons. Lineage: Eukaryota; Metazoa; Chordata; Testudines; Emydidae.
CCAGCCCCAGCCCCAGCCCCAACUCCGGUCGCGCGGCGCUGCCUGACCACGGGCCCUGGCCCCAACUCCGGUCACGUGGCUCCGGCCCGGGAAAGAGAGGCCACAUGACAAGAGACUAUAAAAGACUGCUGCAGCUCCUCCAUCUUGUCUUCAGUCCUGCUUCAGACCUCUGGAGGGACUUUGCUACAAGCUGAAGCUUUGAACAAAGGACUGAAUGACCCAUCCCAGCUGUGGAUGUACUCCAGAGACUUGAUUUGAACCUUGAUUCCAUCACUGCUACAAGCCUGAACCAAGAACUUUGCCAUUACUGUAUGUACUUGAUUCCAUUUAACCAAUUCUAGCUCUCAACUAUAUCUUUUUCCUUUUAUGAAUAAACCUUUAGAUUUAAGAUUCUAAAGGAUUGGCAACAGCUUGAUUUGUGGGUAAGAUCUGAUUUGUAUAUUGACCUGGGUCUGGGGCUUGGUCCUUUGGGAUCGGGAGAACCUUUUUUCUUUUAUUAGGGCAUUGGUUUUCAUAACCAUUUGUCCCCAUAACGAGUGGCACUGGUGGUGAUAUUGGGAAACUGGAGUGUCUAAAGGAAUUGCUUGUGUGACUUGUGGUUAGCCAGUGGGGUAAAACCAAAGUCCUCUCUAUCUGGCUGGUUUGGUUUGCCUUAGGGGUGGAAAAUCCCAGCCUUAGGCUGUAACUGCCCCGCUUUAAGCAAUUUGUCCUGAAUUGGCAUUCUCAGUUGGGUCCCACCGGAACCAGCAUUGUUACAGGUGGGAAGCCUAAAGAAAAGGCUCCUAAGGGGUGUAUUGGAAACUGCUUUGGGUGGAACUGGAUUAGGAGUUGGAAUACUGGAUGCUACUAACAUAGAGGUAUUGGCAAACAAACUGAGUUAUGUUACAGCUGAAAUACAAGAAUCUGGAAAUCCCAUCAGUGCAUCCUUAUCAAAAUGAGGAAUGGGGCAACACUAAGUAGGCCAGUAUGGCAACAGCAAGGUGAACAGGAUUUAUUACUUUUAGCAGGGGCUAUGGGAACUGUGAUAAAUGAAGGUGGGGGGAAGGGUAGGUCCUUUUUAUGGACACUCAGCCAGCCAAUAGCUAUAAAAUCCCACUUAGUAGCUGUUCUCUAAUUGCUCUACCUGUAAAGGGUUAAAAAGUCUCACUGCUAUGCAUAGGUAAAAGGAAGUGAGUGGGUACCUGGCCAAAAGAGCCAAUGGGAAGGCUAGAACUUUUUAAAAUUGAAACAAGACUCCCCUUUUGUCUGGCUGCUGUUGUUCUCGGGGAGAGGCAGACAGGGAGCAGUUAUGCUGUGAGAAACUUGGGCCAGGUAUGAAAAAUCAUCAGUAUCAUACUUAGAAACUAUUCAUCUAAAACCCCAGAUAUGUAAGUAGAUCAGGAAAUGUCUAGGAAGAUGUGAUUAGGUUUAUCCCUUUUAUUUCUUUAUAGCUUGUGGAUUCCUCUGUGCUAACCCCAGGUGCUUUUGUUUUGCUUGUAACCUUUAAGCUGGACCUCAAGAAGCUAUCUUGAUGCUUUUUCCUCCACACAAGGAUUAAGCAUCAAGAUAGCUUCAAACACCAGGCCUGGCCCACUGCCCUCACAGACACCUCAGGAGUACCAUCUGAUCUGUGGCCAUGGAGACAUACCUGGAGGUUUUCAGAAUGAAAAUGUGUACAGUCCCAAUGCUCCUUCCAAGCAUAUGGACCAGUUAAAGGGAUGUGGGCACCCACUUACCGAAUCCUGCCUGGUCCAUGGAAAGAAUGCAUCUGGGACUGGGUGAUUCACCAAAAUAUAUGAAAAAUAAAACCACCUGGUUUACCUAGCCAAUUUAUAGUCGGUGCCCCUAAAAUAACACCCAAUAUUUGAAUUAAAUUGAAAAAUCAAUGAACACUCUGGCCAUCGAAACCCCCACAGCUUCAAUGCAUGCGUAAACUUAAACCAAGGAAAAUAGUCACUGUUCAUAACAAUGUUUGCUGGGAGGGUAAGGGAUUGGAAACCCUCUUAACAGAAAAAAUAAUUUUCCAGGCCAAUAACAGCUGUGUGAUUGUCAAAGCCCAUAUCAUGCACAACACCCAUUUUACCCUCUCCAUGGUCGCCAGUAGCCAGAUCAUUUACUGGCCGGCGAAUAAAAAAUUUGCAAUCAACUCUCAGGUAUAAAAUGCCCUUUAACUGGACAACCCUGGUACCAGACUGUUUCCAAAAUUUGCUUUCAUUAAUAUCCGAGGUCCAAAAAAUUUCUAAUUUAUAGGGACAAAUUCAUGCCCUUAAAAAUAUGUAUCAAAUAGAAAAAGGUGCCUUUCAAACAGCCUAUCGACUGUCUUCCUUGUACACUAGUCGAGACAUGCUGUGUGCAGUAACCAAAAUUAUAUACAAACCACACCAUGUUGUUGCUAUAGGUAAAUUAACUAUUGUAUUGGGAUUGUUUGUUUUAAAAUUGUGUUUUUGCUAUUAUUGUUGCAAGGAAUAUUGCUGUACCUGUAAUUUUUCUGCUAAGCCUACUGCGAGGGAGCAGGUGGCCUUAAUGCUUGUUAAUGAGGUUUAUAAUAAAAGUUGGGAUGAGAUAAAAAAAAAGGAAAAGACAAAAAUUAAAGGGCUCAUGAAUGUAAAAGUUUAGGCCAAGGGUGGCGCUGGAAGCGCCAAAGGGGGGAAUUGUGGAAAAAAAAUAGUCUAAGGCCUAAACUUUGGUCAAGUGAACUGUAUGUAGGGUCAGGUGAACUGUAUGUGUGGCCUGAAGGAAGAAGAAAAGGGGGGGGGGGGGAAGAGUAAAAGGAGAAGGGUAAACAAAAAUCAUAAAAGCAAAACUAACUGUAGACAUUAUAAAAGCAGAAUUAACCUUUGUAACAAAUUAUAAUUAAUAGAUGUCAGGUGACAAAGCAAGAAACCACAAAGGGGCAGACUGUAAAAAACAGAAAAGCUUGCUAAGCUAUAUUCCCUUUUUUGGGGAAUGUAUUCCAAAUAUGGCAAUAAUGUUGAUAAGGAAGUAUGCAUUACUUAAUUGUGGUUUUAUGCUAUAUAAGCUAUUUAAAAAUCUGUAGUCGGGGGGAUUGCUAGUUUACUGGUACCCCCCAUGCAUGCAUGAAAAUAAAAAGGCCUCAGGCAAUUCUAAUUGCGUGGUCAUUUUUCCACAACACUUGUAAUUGUUUUUUUUUUUAAACUUAGCAAAAAGCCUAAGUUGCAGAUGUAUUUUCUUUCUUUUUGUUUUUAAUAAAAAUUACCUUUUUUAAGAAUAGGA